This 443-nucleotide ribosomal RNA is filed under the name uncultured bacterium. Its description in RNAcentral is "partial 16S ribosomal RNA". It matches the Rfam family "Bacterial small subunit ribosomal RNA", at positions 338 to 795 of the family's 1533-position model. The record is from RNAcentral.
CCUACGGGAGGCAGCAGUGGGGAAUAUUGGACAAUGGGGGGAACCCUGAUCCAGCGACGCCGCGUGAGUGAAGAAGUAUUUCGGUAUGUAAAGCUCUAUCAGCAGGGAAGAAAGAAAUGACGGUACCUGACUAAGAAGCCCCGGCUAACUACGUGCCAGCAGCCGCGGGAAUACGUAGGGGGCAAGCGUUAUCCGGAUUUACUGGGUGUAAAGGGAGCGUAGACGGCGAUGCAAGUCUGAAGUGAAAGGCGGGGGCCCAACCCCCGGACUGCUUUGGAAACUGGAUGGCUGGAGUGCAGGAGAGGUAAGUGGAAUGCCUGGUGUAGCGGUGAAAUGCGUAGAUAUUAGGAGGAACACCAGUGGCGAAGGCGGCUUACUGGACUGUAACUGACGUUGAGGCUCGAAAGCGUGGGGAGCGAACAGGAUUAGAUACCCCUGUAGUC